This 484-nucleotide ribosomal RNA is filed under the name uncultured bacterium. RNAcentral describes it as "partial 16S ribosomal RNA". It matches the Rfam family "Bacterial small subunit ribosomal RNA", at positions 28 to 507 of the family's 1533-position model. The record is from RNAcentral.
AUUGAACGCUGGCGGCAUGCUUUACACAUGCAAGUCGAACGGCAGCGCGGGCUUCGGCCUGGCGGCGAGUGGCGAACGGGUGAGUAAUGCAUCGGAACGUGCCCAGUAGUGGGGGAUAGCCCGGCGAAAGCCGGAUUAAUACCGCAUACGACCUGAGGGUGAAAGCGGGGGACCGAAAGGCCUCGCGCUAUUGGAGCGGCCGAUGUCGGAUUAGCUAGUUGGUGGGGUAAAGGCUUACCAAGGCGACGAUCCGUAGCUGGUCUGAGAGGACGACCAGCCACACUGGGACUGAGACACGGCCCAGACUCCUACGGGAGGCAGCAGUGGGGAAUUUUGGACAAAGGGGGCAACCCUGAUCCAGCCAUGCCGCGUGCGGGAAGAAGGCCUUCGGGUUGUAAACCGCUUUUGUUCGGGAAGAGAUCCUCUGGGCUAAUACCCCGGGGGGAUGACGGUACCGGAAGAAUAAGCACCGGCUAACUACGUG